This 439-nucleotide ribosomal RNA is filed under the name uncultured bacterium. RNAcentral describes it as "bacterial SSU rRNA". It matches the Rfam family "Bacterial small subunit ribosomal RNA", at positions 958 to 1397 of the family's 1533-position model. The record is from RNAcentral.
AACGCGAAGAACCUUACCUGGGCUCGAAAUGUACAGGAAUCCGGUGGAAACAUCGGCGCCCCGCAAGGGGCCUGUAUAUAGGUGCUGCAUGGCUGUCGUCAGCUCGUGUCGUGAGAUGUUGGGUUAAGUCCCGCAACGAGCGCAACCCUUACCUCCAGUUGCUACCAUUUAGUUGAGCACUCUGGCGGAACCGCCUCGGAUAACGGGGAGGAAGGUGGGGAUGACGUCAAGUCCUCAUGGCCUUUAUGUCCAGGGCUACACACGUGCUACAAUGGCCGGUACAAACCGUCGCAAACCCGCGAGGGGGAGCUAAUCGGAAAAAGCCGGCCUCAGUUCGGAUUACAGUCUGCAACUCGACUGUAUGAAGCUGGAAUCGCUAGUAAUCGCGGAUCAGAAUGCCGCGGUGAAUACGUUCCCGGGCCUUGUACACACCGAUAGC